GACGAACGCUGGCGGCGUGCUUAACACAUGCAAGUCGAGCGGAAAGGCCUUUCGGGGUACUCGAGCGGCGAACGGGUGAGUAACACGUGGGUAACCUGCCUUCAGCUCUGGGAUAAGCCUGGGAAACUGGGUCUAAUACCGGAUACGACACGCGGCCGCAUGGUUGUGUGUGGAAAGUUUUUCGGCUGGAGAUGGACUCGCGGCCUAUCAGCUCGUUGGUGGGGUAGUGGCCUACCAAGGCGAUGACGGGUAGCCGGCCUGAGAAGGCGACCGGCCACACUGGGACUGAGACACGGCCCAGACUCCUACGGGAGGCAGCAGUGGGGAAUAUUGCGCAAUGGGCGAAAGCCUGACGCAGCAACGCCGCGUGAGGGAUGACGGCCUUCGGGUUGUAAACCUCUUUCAGCGCUGACGAAGCCUUCGGGUGACGGUAGGCGCAGAAGAAGCACCGGCUAACUACGUGCCAGCAGCCGCGGUAAUACGUAGGGCGCGAGCGUUGUCCGGAUUUAUUGGGCGUAAAGAGCUCGUAGGCGGCUUGUUGCGUCGUCCGUGAAAACCUGGGGCUCAACUUCAGGUCUGCGGACGAUACGGGCAGGCUGGAGUUCGGUAGGGGAGACUGGAAUUCCUGGUGUAGCGGUGAAAUGCGCAGAUAUCAGGAGGAACACCGGUGGCGAAGGCGGGUCUCUGGGCCGAUACUGACGCUGAGGAGCGAAAGCGUGGGGAGCGAACAGGAUUAGAUACCCUGGUAGUCCACGCUGUAAACGUUGGGCGCUAGGUGUGGGGGGCCUCUCCGGUUUCCUGCGCCGUAGCUAACGCAUUAGGCGCCCCGCCUGGGGAGUACGGCCGCAAGGCUAAAACUCAAAUGAAUUGACGGGG
This 876-nucleotide ribosomal RNA is filed under the name uncultured Actinomycetes bacterium. RNAcentral's name for it is "bacterial SSU rRNA". It matches the Rfam family "Bacterial small subunit ribosomal RNA", at positions 28 to 918 of the family's 1533-position model. Lineage: Bacteria; Bacillati; Actinomycetota; Actinomycetes. The record is from RNAcentral.